AACGAACGCUGGCGGCAUGCCUAAUACAUGCAAGUAGAACGAGGCCUUCGGGUCCUGGGGCGCACGGGUUCGUAACGGGAGGGAACCUUCCCUUAGGUUCGGCAUACCUCCUCGCAGGGGAUGCCUAUACGAGACAAUAUCUACUGCCGAAAGAUUUAUCGCCUCAGGUUGGGCUCGUGUUGAAUUAGCUAUUUGGUAGGGUAAAGGCCUACCAAGGCGACGUUCCAUAGCUGGUCUGAGAGGAUGAUCCGCCACACUGGGGCUGGCACCCGGCCCAGACUCCUACGGGUGGCAGCAGUCGGGACUAUUCAACGAUGGGCGAAAGCCUGAGCCAUCAAUGCCGCGUAAGUGAUGAAGGCCUUAGGGUUGUAAAGCUCUUUUAACCGUGAUGAUAAUGACAGUACCGUGAGAGUAAGCGCCGGCUAACUCCGUG
Molecule: ribosomal RNA, 433 nt
Filed under: uncultured bacterium
Lineage: Bacteria
Description: partial 16S ribosomal RNA
Rfam family: Bacterial small subunit ribosomal RNA
Source: RNAcentral